Molecule: transfer RNA, 65 nt
Filed under: Scirpophaga incertulas
Lineage: Eukaryota; Metazoa; Arthropoda; Insecta; Lepidoptera; Crambidae
Description: tRNA-Asp
Source: RNAcentral
AAAGAAUUAGUUAAUAUAUAACAUUAAUAUGUCAAAUUAAAAUUAUUACAAAGUAAUAUUCUUUU